Molecule: ribosomal RNA, 485 nt
Filed under: uncultured bacterium
Lineage: Bacteria
Description: bacterial SSU rRNA
Rfam family: Bacterial small subunit ribosomal RNA
Source: RNAcentral
GAUGAACGCUGGCGGCGUGCCUAAUACAUGCAAGUCGAGCGGUAAGGCUUUCACUCUGUAUUUAAUGAGUUGAAUAUAGUGUGAAAGUACACGAGCGGCGGACGGCUGAGUAACGCGUAGGAACGUACCCCAAAGUGAGGGAUAAGCACCGGAAACGGUGUCUAAUACCGCAUGUGAUCUUCGGAUUAAAGCUUUAUGCGCUUUGGGAGCGGCCUGCGUAAGAUUAGUUUGUUGGUGAGGUAAUGGCUCACCAAGACUACGAUCUUUAGCUGGUCUGAGAGGAUGAUCAGCCAGACUGGGACUGAGACACGGCCCAGACUCCUACGGGAGGCAGCAGUAGGGAAUUUUCCACAAUGGACGAAAGUCUGAUGGAGCAACGCCGCGUGCAGGAUGAAGGCCUUCGGGUUGUAAACUGCUUUAUCUGUGACGAUUAUGACGGUAGCAGAUGAAUAAGGAUCGGCUAACUCCGUGCCAGCAGCCGCGGU